CCUACGGGAGGCAGCAGUGGGGAAUAUUGCGCAAUGGGCGAAAGCCUGACGCAGCAACGCCGCGUGGGGGAUGAAGGCCUUCGGGUUGUAAACCCCUUUCAGCAGGGACGAAAAUGACGGUACCUGCAGAAGAAGCCCCGGCCAACUACGUGCCAGCAGCCGCGGUAAUACGUAGGGGGCAAGCGUUGUCCGGAUUUAUUGGGCGUAAAGAGCUCGUAGGCGGUUGCGUAAGUCGGAUGUGAAAACUCAGGGCUCAACCCAGAGACGCCAUCCGAUACUGCCUGACUAGAGUCCGGUAGAGGAGCAUGGAAUUCCUGGUGUAGCGGUGAAAUGCGCAGAUAUCAGGAGGAACACCAGUGGCGAAGGCGGUGCUCUGGGCCGGUACUGACGCUGAGGAGCGAAAGCGUGGGUAGCGAACAGGAUUAGAUACCCUGG
This 435-nucleotide ribosomal RNA is filed under the name uncultured bacterium. Its description in RNAcentral is "bacterial SSU rRNA". It matches the Rfam family "Bacterial small subunit ribosomal RNA", at positions 338 to 790 of the family's 1533-position model. The record is from RNAcentral.